Molecule: long non-coding RNA, 101 nt
Organism: Myotis brandtii (Brandt's bat)
Lineage: Eukaryota; Metazoa; Chordata; Mammalia; Chiroptera; Vespertilionidae
Exons: 3
Source: RefSeq, a predicted model, not a curated record
AGGAACUCUUGCCAUUUGCAACAGCAUGGAUGGAACUGGAGAGCAUUAUGCUAAGCAAAUUAAGCCAGUCGGAGAAAGAUAAAUAUCACAUGAUCUCACUC